UUUAUAAUUCUGUUGCCAGUUAUACGCAUGGGAUAAAAUAUAUGAGACCCUUGCAAAUUGAGAUGAAAAUAAUCAUUUUCUCUCUUCUGCAUGGCCUGGACAUUG
This is a small nucleolar RNA of Echinops telfairi (small Madagascar hedgehog), 105 nucleotides long. The record is from Ensembl. Lineage: Eukaryota; Metazoa; Chordata; Mammalia; Afrosoricida; Tenrecidae.